This 639-nucleotide ribosomal RNA is filed under the name uncultured bacterium. RNAcentral's name for it is "bacterial SSU rRNA". It matches the Rfam family "Bacterial small subunit ribosomal RNA", at positions 232 to 885 of the family's 1533-position model. The record is from RNAcentral.
CGCGGCCUAUCAGCUUGUUGGUGGGGUAACGGCCUACCAAGGCAUCGACGGGUAGCUGGUCUGAGAGGACGAUCAGCCACACUGGGACUGAGACACGGCCCAGACUCCUACGGGAGGCAGCAGUGGGGAAUAUUGCGCAAUGGGCGAAAGCCUGACGCAGCAACGCCGCGUGGGGGAUGAAGGCUUUCGGGUUGUAAACCCCUUUCAGUGAUGACGAAAAUGACGGUAAUCACAGAAGAAGCCCCGGCCAACUACGUGCCAGCAGCCGCGGUAACACGUAGGGGGCAAGCGUUGUCCGGAUUUAUUGGGCGUAAAGAGCUCGUAGGCGGUUGCGUAAGUCGGAUGUGAAAACUCAGGGCUCAACCCUGAGAUGCCAUUCGAUACUGCGCUGACUAGAGUCCGGUAGAGGAGCAUGGAAUUCCUGGUGUAGCGGUGAAAUGCGCAGAUAUCAGGAGGAACACCAGUAGCGAAGGCGGUGCUCUGGGCCGGUACUGACGCUGAGGAGCGAAAGCAUGGGUAGCAAACAGGAUUAGAUACCCUGGUAGUCCAUGCCGUAAACGUUGGGCACUAGGUGUGGGACCUACUUAACGGGUUCCGUGCCGUAGCUAACGCAUUAAGUGCCCCGCCUGGGGAGUACGG